Molecule: long non-coding RNA, 979 nt
Organism: Rhopalosiphum padi (bird cherry-oat aphid)
Lineage: Eukaryota; Metazoa; Arthropoda; Insecta; Hemiptera; Aphididae
Exons: 3
Source: RefSeq, a predicted model, not a curated record
AUAUUAUAUGUAAUUUUCAUUUAAUAAAUUGUUAAUGUAUUUUGUUCCGUGUUAUGUUAGUUGUUCUCUUUGAGGUAUAGAUGUAAAUUUAAAAUCAUAGUUUUGGAGAAUUUUGUAUUACUUUGAAGUUAAAAUCCGUUACACUCAUUAAUUCAUUCUUAAAUACUAUAAUAAUUAUUGUUGUUUAUUCAAUGCGUAUAGUGUCAAUAGUGUCAUACUAUAUUCUUAUAAAUGAACAAUUAUAGUAUAAUAUAUAUAUGACUUAUAUACUACAAAAGUGUAAUAAUUACACUAAUUAUUACUCGUCUUCCAGGUUUAUUCAUCUGUUCUUCUAGUUCCGGGAGUUGAACAAAAUUUGUCUUCAACCACUGGAUGUUUUUGUAUGGACGACAAGUGAAUGAUGACUUAAAGUCAUUACCGGUGUGAAAAUAUGAUUUUAGGCGCCUUUUUAAGUAAUCGUUACAUUUAUUUACGAGGGUGAUCAGUGUAUGGAGGAGUGACUAAAUAAUAUUGUUUUGUGUUUGUCAUCAGGUACAGCUGAUAUUCUGCUGUUUCGGUUUUAAUCAAAGAGGUACUGGGUCAUUUCUGUAUUCUCAUUGUUACUAAUUUCAGAUUGCAUUUGAGCGCUAUUUAAAAAAAAACCCGUACGAUAUGAUCUAUAAAAUUAACUGUCAAUGUCAAAUGUCAAUAAGCUGUAAGCACACUUUACAUGGCCGCCAGUAUGGACAGCUGGUAAUGCAACGCUCAGUACAGUUGUUUGUGGAAGUUGUAGAUUCAAUUUACGUUGGAGACCGAUGAGUCGUUUUGUUUCCAUGAUGUUGUCGGUGGUCUAUCAUGAUUCAUGAUUAAAGGUUUUAUAUUUGGAGAACAAAAUACAGCAAGGCACGUAAAAUCCAACAAAUGCAGUUAUAUUCUGCAGAUGUAAACUAUAACAAAAAAAUAAAUAUUUAUAUGUAUUAAAUUUGUUUUAAUAAAUGUA